Molecule: ribosomal RNA, 483 nt
Filed under: uncultured bacterium
Lineage: Bacteria
Description: bacterial SSU rRNA
Rfam family: Bacterial small subunit ribosomal RNA
Source: RNAcentral
AAUCAACGCUGGCGGCGUGCCUCAGACAUGCAAGUCGAACGAUUAAAGCUCUCUUCGGAGAGUGUAUAGAGUGGCGCACGGGUGAGUAACACGUAAGUAAUCUACCUUUGAGUGGGGAAUAACAGUCGGAAACGACUGCUAAUACCGCAUAAUGCAGCGGCACCGCGAGGUGACAGUUGUUAAAGGAGCAAUUCGCUUAAAGAGGAGCUUGCGGCAGAUUAGCUUGUUGGUAAGGUAACGGCUUACCAAGGCUACGAUCUGUAUCCGGUCUUAGAGGACGGUCGGACACACUGACACUGAAUAACGGGUCAGACUCCUACGGGAGGCAGCAGUCGGGAAUUUUGGGCAAUGGGCGAAAGCCUGACCCAGCAACGCCGCGUGAAGGAUGAAGUAUUUCGGUAUGUAAACUUCGAAAGAAUAGAAGAAUAAAUGACGGUACUAUUUAUAAGGUCCGGCUAACUACGUGCCAGCCGCCGCCGUAAG